CCUACGGGAGGCAGCAGUGAGGAAUAUUGGUCAAUGGACGAGAGUCUGAACCAGCCAAGUAGCGUGAAGGAUGACUGCCCUAUGGGUUGUAAACUUCUUUUAUAUGGGAAUAAAAUGUUCCACGUGUGGGAUUUUGUAUGUACCAUAUGAAUAAGGAUCGGCUAACUCCGUGCCAGCAGCCGCGGUAAUACGGAGGAUCCGAGCGUUAUCCGGAUUUAUUGGGUUUAAAGGGAGAGUAGGUGGAUUGUUAAGUCAGUUGUGAAAGUUUGCGGCUCAAACGUAAAAUUGCAGUUGAAACUGGCAGUCGUGAGUACAGUAGAGGUGGGCGGAAUUCGUGGUGUAUCGGUGAAAUGCUUAGAUAUCACGAAGAACUCCGAUUGCGAAGGCAGCUCACUGGACUGAAACUGACACUGAGGCUCGAAAGUGUGGGUAUCAAACAGGAUUAGAUACCCGAGUAGUC
RNAcentral lists this ribosomal RNA (460 nucleotides) under uncultured bacterium. Its description in RNAcentral is "partial 16S ribosomal RNA". It matches the Rfam family "Bacterial small subunit ribosomal RNA", at positions 338 to 795 of the family's 1533-position model. The record is from RNAcentral.